GUGAGCGUAGCUCAGCUGGUAGAGCAUCGGGUUGUGGUCCCGAGGGUCGUGGGUUCAAUCCCCAUCGCUCACCCCA
Molecule: transfer RNA, 76 nt
Filed under: Candidatus Saccharimonadota bacterium
Lineage: Bacteria; Candidatus Saccharimonadota
Description: tRNA-His
Rfam family: tRNA
About the family: Transfer RNA (tRNA) molecules are approximately 80 nucleotides in length. Their secondary structure includes four short double-helical elements and three loops (D, anti-codon, and T loops).
Source: RNAcentral